UCGGACAUGGUGUAUGGUACACGGCCUCCCAACAUGUGGGCAUAGAUGAGAUUGUUGGAGGCAGACUGGGGUUCGACUCCCCGUGUCCGAA
Non-coding RNA from Mycena leptocephala, 91 nucleotides. The record is from the annotation of a GenBank genome assembly. Lineage: Eukaryota; Fungi; Basidiomycota; Agaricomycetes; Agaricales; Mycenaceae.